RNAcentral lists this long non-coding RNA (5699 nucleotides) under Homo sapiens (human). Its description in RNAcentral is "HSALNT0122714". Lineage: Eukaryota; Metazoa; Chordata; Mammalia; Primates; Hominidae. The record is from RNAcentral.
GGAGACUCUGAGUCCCAAGAAGGGCAAGGCGCUUGCCUGGUCUGAAGGGGAGGUGGAGUUGAAAUCAGUGCACUCCAUCUAACACCUCCUGGGGCCUCCCCAUCCCAACCUCCUCUUCCCCCAACUCCAUUGCUGUGGGCAUGAGAGGGGAAGAGAGGGAGAAGGUGAAUUAUGACGCUGAGGGCAAAGGAAGUCCCAGGUGCCUGUACCUGGGGGAAUGAACUGGUAUGGAGUUGGCAAGAGGGCACAAGGAGGAAAUGGAGCCACAAGGCAAGACGAAGGAAGGAAAUUCUGUAGGUGAGCACAGCGGCCACAGGAGAGAGCACCGACUCUCAUGGCCUUGGUGUGUGGGGCUUAAAACCCACUGUCUUCAGAGAUGAAAUGGCUCUGGAGCCAUCCACGCCACGGCUGCAGUCUUUCUGAUUGAUAAGCCUAACCCUUCCUUUUUGAAUGCCCUAAAAAAUUCAUUUGCAUUCGGAAGCAUGUCUAAUGUCAAGAUGAUCAAAUGUAUUUUAAGGGUGGAAAAGAAGUACUUGUGAAGAAAGAUAAAAUGAAUCAGGAUUAUUUUGCCUAGAGAAAGUCAAUAAGUAAUCCAACAAUUAUCUUCUUUACCCAGAAGCUGGCAGGCAGCUAGUCAACACUUCCAAAGAAGACAGAAAAAGAUAAAGCAGUCCAGUGGCAGAAAAGUAUGAACUUCCUAACUAGAGGGCUGUGCACACUCAUGUGGGCACCAGCAGGGCUCCUGGCCGCAUGCACAGUGAUAUUGCGCUGCUCCGUGUACACAGCCCAGGAUGGCACUUGCUUUAUCAGAAGUGUCGCCGCCCAGCUGAGACAUACUGAAGCGGUCCAAGCGCAGGCCCGACGUGCCCAUAAUGCCAUGGAGUGUAGAGAGUAAGUGUAUAAAACUAUGCCUGUCCGGAGGUGGGAAUGCUAUCUCUACUUACUAAAGUCCAAAAGAACCCCAGGAAACAAAGAGAGCCCCAUCUCAAACAGGGUGUGCCAGGAAACAGAAGCAAAGCAGGACUUCAAUUCUGGCUUAUUAGUACACUCAAAGUGAGCUGCUUCCCCUUCUCGUACACCUCAGUUUCCUUUUCCAUAGAGAAGCAGUGCUCAUGCUUGGCCGCUGGCGACAGAGUUCCACAGCUAACUUACGAAGGACGUCCUCCCAGCUCUUGAGUGCGAUCUCUACAGGUGUGCCCACAGCCUGCCUGAGUUAGCCCACCAUCCAGAUCACACGACGGCUGUGCCGGACAGCUGUCUCUCUCUACAGACACUCUGAGGUUCAUUCUAAUAUGAGAACACUGGCUCCUAGCUGACAUCUCUACAACCACAAGGUGUGUGUUUAGCUGAAGUCUGACCACAGAUAGGCAUGAUUACCUGGUUAAAUUCUCCAGAGUGUGUUCUCUGUGAAAUCAGACACACUGCAUUCAGCAUUGGGAAACAAGAGCUGAGAAGGAAAGGCACACACAUCCAAAGACAAGAAUGGAAAAUCUGGAAACCCAGCCCUGACAUCGCAGUGCUCAGAGAGAUGAACAGUUAACACAGUCGGAAUGAAGCAAGAGGAACAUACGUUUGGGUAUCGGGUCUGAGGCCUCGGAACCAGCGCCUUCCCCGGGAAAGCUGAGAGGCUCCACCACGUCUGUGUCGGGAGGAGGGUAGGGCGGGGGUGGGGGAAGCACUAACUGGGGUGGACCCCGAGCAGUGCCUCUGGGAGGCUUUUGUGGCACCUGCCGUCCACCACCUAUAUGGAAUCAACAGGGAGUUACUUCAGCAGGUUAAACCAAGCCGUCACUCACUAGGCACCAAAUCCAACCUCACUGGGCACCAGAUCCAGCCACACUCAACACCAGAUCCAGCCACACCUAACACCAGAUCCAGUCAUAUCCAGCACCUAAUCCAUUCUCAUCUGGCACCAACCACAUCCAACCACACUCACACUUUAACAUUUUACAUACGUAGUGUUCUAUCAUUGGAGCAGUUUGGAAAGAUGUGCCUGGUUGCAAUUUCUUUUUAACAGACACAACUACAUAAAUGCUGGGCUUGAAAACUAUUCUUCAACACCCUCGACAGAGCUUUGUCAAGUUUAAAGGAACUCCUUUUAUUAAUGUUAGUCUUUUUCAGGUUCACAGAUCUGUUUUUAGCCUACUCUUGUUGCUUUUCUAGAGCCACUGACCUAUUCUGGCUAGAUUAAGCAUUCAUUUAGCUUAUCUCCUGAGUCCAUUUAUACUUUUCAACCCCUUUGGUUGUUUAGAAUAAUAGUUCUCCAAGUUUGUUUUGAAGAAUGUCCUGAGUUGUAGAGAGGGUGGGGAUGUUGUCCCAAGCACAUGGGACACAAGGACUCAGGCCUCCAGGGCGGAAUCAGGGGGUCCUGCCCUGGGUUGAAGUGACUGGCCUAGGGAUUGGCACGAUCCAACCACAUACAGCCAUUUACAGUGGAUGCCACUUAAAAUUUAAACCAGGGGCUUUUGUCCAUUUAUGAAAAAUGGGGAGAGAGCUUGGAAGGGAGAAUGGGGGGCUCUUCACGAAACAGGAGAAAACCAGGUUUAUUUUAAUGAUCCACUGAUAAUGUUUUCUUUCAGUCCUUUGGGAAAGAGGAUGAGCUGACAUGGAAUACAGGUUAUUGCUUCUUAAGGUAACUGACUCCCAGGCUGAAAUGCUAACACAUUAAAAGCGAGGAACUGACUAAGGGGAAAGACGCUGACAAACUGCCACGGAGCUCUCACUAAAGGUCCAGAAACUGCCAAGGCAGCCACUUAUCUCAGAAGGACUUUCCCUCCUGCAGCUGCAGACCUUAGGGCAAAGGCAAAACGCGGGGCUGCCUGGGUGGGUUAAAGGGCAUGGUGAGUGGCCUGUGAGUGCUGGUGGCUUCGUCGUGAGCACUGACACACGCCAUUCUUGGGGCUCUCAGCUCAGGAAGGUGUGACUCCUAGGCUGCCAUUUUCCAACCACUCCAUGGAAGAGCCAUUUCUGUUCCAACAUAAGUGAAAUAACAAAUGCUGAAUGAUUUAAAAAGAAAAUGAACCCUUGACUCCCCUGGACCUGGACAGCGCCAUCAUUCAGCUUCUCUCCACCUCGCCUGUAGCACGAGGGGUGGGCUAUGAUGAUCUAAUAGGUCUCUUUCUGCUCACAGAUAGUAUAAUUCCAUCUUCUUUCCUCUGGGCUCUCUUUCCCUCAAAGAAAAUCAGGGUCUUUGCUAAAUGUGUACCAGGUAAUAUAAGUGGAGAUCAAUUUCAAACAGGAUGGUCCAAAAAUUACUGAGCUGAUGUCAACUUGUCUAUACAUCACCUGUGGCCUAAGAUCUCUUUGAAAUGCCAAAUGUCCUUCAAAGCAGUUUCCACGAUGUCACCCUAGGAACUUCUCCUUUUGCCAUCAGAGACACACGUCGCACACUCACACUCACAGGCUUUCCAUUUUCACCCUCUCCCGGCUCCUGCAGCCGUUUCUCCCCUUCCACCGUCCCCCGCCUCCUAAAUGCUCACAUAAUGCCCACCAAAUACUGCUAGUAAGAUAUGAAGUGAACUUGCAAUUAUUUCUUUCCAGCCCUUCUUUCUUUAGCAUUAAUAUUUUUUGGGUUAAUGUCAUUAUGGAUGAGGCCACUGCAGGAGUUCACAUCAGAGCUGACAUUCCAGGACAGAGCAAGCAUCCCCGCAUGCAGACGGCAGGCCGAGCCUCACUCACCCAUCGUGCUCUUCCUGUUCUCCUCCUUAUCCUCAGUGCGGUUGGGGAUCAGGGGACUCGGUGGUGGUGGCUGUGGUGGAGGGGGAGCUGGCGCUCGCCGCUUCUUCUUCUGUAAAUCAAUCUGUGACCCAAGAGAUACCUAUGAAGUACAAAGAAGGAAAGUACAAUCAAAGUACUUUGUACCUAUGAAGUACAAAGAAGGCAGUAUUAGGGUGAUUGUGCUGGGGCAGGGACCUGCACCGGAAGGUGGUGCUCCAGGAGGGUUGUUAGAUGGCCAGUUCCCUUUCCAGGUCCUCCCACACAGGCAGGGGAGGCCAUGAGGCGAGAGACCAGCGGAUGUCCAAGGAGUGGCCUGGAGGUGGCACAGUGUUGCUCAUAGACACCCCAAAGACCCCUAUGAGCAGGGAGCUCAUAUUUUCUAGGGACUCCAGGCAAGUCUGGAGAGUUGGUAAACUUCCCUGUCACACAAGAGAAUGAGACCCAUAGUCCUUCAUUAAAUGUAAGGAGAACAAUUCCUUCUGGAACAGGAUGGGCUGCCGUGAAUUGUGAUCACACAGAGGAAGAGCUGAUGGGGGCAGCUCAGACCUCACCCUGCUCUGACUUAGGUUUGUUUCCCUGACUGCAUGUUCACGUUCCAGAGCAGCUGCAGCCAAGACUAUCUAAUGGUCCACAGGUGGACACAUCUUGAUCCAGAAUCGCAAUGAAGUUUCUUAGUAUAUGGGUUAUUAGAUCGGUGUAUGGGACAUUAGCCCCCAACCACAGCAGAAAUCCAGCUCCUGCUCACAGCUUUCAACAGUGAAAGACACACAGCUUCUAAAGGCAGCUCAUGAAUACUGGGCAGGUCUAAUUGCUGAAUGUGAAAUCUGUUUUGUCUGUAAAAUUGAAUUCACUGAUUCCAUUUCUUUGUUUCUGAAGGACUACAUAAUCCUACUCUCCUCUCCUCCUCAUUAGGGCGAAAGUUUUUAUUCGUUCACUCUCAUUGAUUAAAAUUCAUUGAUUAAAGAACAUUGUGUAUAGAGCAGUGCAGAGUAUGUGCAAAGAAUGGGCCAGGCAUGGUGGUGGACACUUGUAGUCUCAGCUACUCAGGAGGCUGAGGCAGGAGAAUCGCUUGAACCCAGGAGGUGGAGGUUGCAGUGAGCCGAGAUCACGCCACUGCACUCCAGCCUGGGUGAUGUAGCAAGACUGUGUCUCAGAAAAAAAAAAAAAAAAAAAAAAAAAAGAAUGAACAUGGUGACUAUCAUAUGACAAGAGCUGUCCUGCUCUCUAGUAGCUCAGAGCCAAGUCUGUACCUCCAGUCCAAGUACUUCCUGGCCUUCCAAGGGCUCAUCAUAGGAAUGGUGCCUGCAACACCCUGCCUCUGCCACUUCAACUCUGACCUUGGUGCUCUCUGGUUUAUUAACUCAUGCUUGCACCAUGUGUACCACGUAUAUGGGAGAGAGAAAGGGGGAGAGAGACAAUGAGAGGGAGAGAGAGAGAGAGAGAGUGUGUGUGUGUAAAAAGUCUCCUUUUAAUUUUUAUCAGCAGUACACAUUUAUUGCAAAAAAGUUAAAAAAUAUAUGUAAAAGGAAGAACAUAAUCACUUUAUUAAUACUCAAACUACUAACAAUUGGCAUGUUUUUCUAGACUAUUUUUUCUUCUAAAAAUAUUUUUUUCUUUCCUUCUGUUAUAGUAUAUUAUAACCACCUCCUAUACCUCUAAAAUUCUGUAAUAUAUUUUACAUAAAACAUGGACAUAACAGAAAGUAAAUAACCCCAUAAAGAUGAGUCAAAACCAGCAAUUUAUUGUCCACCACCCCCUCUCCAGCAGUAAGCAUUUCACAUUUUUUUUUUGGCAUUUAUUCCGUUUUUCUAAAUAAGAAGCUUAUUGUACUGUUUCUUGAUUUUUCCAUGUUAGGUAUUGGCAUCUACUCCAGAAGAUGAGGAUUUGGUUCUUUAAGACACACACAUACACACAAACACACACACACACACACAGAGACAUACACACACACACACACGCACAGACUCAUACUUUUCCUCUCC